UCACAGACGCGCAACGCCACGACCGAGGCCACAUGAGAGAACAGGACAGGUGGGAUAGAACUGGGAUAGGAGGACUGGGGACCUUUUGCCCAGACAAAGUGGUGCGAGGACGAAAAAGUUUGACAACUAUGGGAUGUUUGAAUCACUUCGAAGAAGUUCAUGUUGUACUAGGUAAUGAGUCUUGUGACCUUGACUCAGCAGUAGCCUCAGUUGUCACAGCAUUUCUUCUUCAUCAGAAGAAAUCAGAGCUGAAGUGUGCUGUGUUGCCAGUGCUUAACAUUGUAAGGAGAGAUUUCAGGCUUCGAACAGAAGUUACUUUUUUCCUACAGAAGACUAAUAUACCAUUUGAUCUUCUUAUCUUCAAGGAUGAAAUUGAUUUAGAAAAACUUAGAAAAGAAAAAAGAUUGUGCUUAACACUUGUGGACCACAAUGUCUUGAGUGCAGACCAGCAGUGCUUAGAAGAAGCUGUUGUAAGGGUCAUAGAUCAUCACAAGCUUGAAUGCAGAGACAGAAGAAUGAGGUGUGAUAUGACAGUUGAAAUGGUUGGAUCAUGCUGUACACUUGUGGCUGAAAAGAUGUUUACUACGUGUCCAAGUGUAAUUGACCAACAAAUUGCUAUGCUCCUCUAUGGUACAAUUCUCCUAGACACUGUAUGCCUGUUAAAAGAAGCCAAAAGGGCAACGGAAAAGGAUAUUAAUAUUGUAAUAAAACUUGAAACCAAGUUGGAAAAAGUUACAAGAAUAGAGGUUUUUGAAGCAUUGCAGAAGGCUAAAUUUGACCUCUCAGGUUUAACUUUUGAAGAAAUGCUUAGGAAAGAUCUGAAAGUUGUUGAAGGAAAUAAGUUCAGAAUUGCAAUACCUUCAAUACCUGGAUUUUUGGAGGAUCUAAAAGCAGAACCAAAAUUAAGCAUUGCUAUGGAAGAAUUUAUAACACAAAAUAACUACCAUGGCUUAGUAAUUAUGACCAUUCAUCAUAACAGUGAAACACGAAAAGUUCAAAGACAAAUUGCUGUAUAUUCACCAGAUCCAGUGAUUAAAGAACAGAUAGUGAACACAUUAAAAGGAGCCCAAGAUCCAGGACUGGAAUUAGAACCUUUACACUUGGGAAUUUCUGACUUGAUGUCUUUCAACCAGAGAAAUAUAGCAGCAUCAAGAAAAGUAGUACUUCCUUUGGUGCGGUCUUUUAUCCAAGAAUCACCUGUCAGUAGCCACUCAGCUAAAGCUUGAAGCAGUAUCACAACAUACCAGCUGUCUGAUUCAAGGUUUCCAGGUUCCAUGUAAGAAAGGCAUAGCUGAUUCAAUGGUUAGAAAGCUUUAUCCUCCCCACAGUUCUAUAAUAUUGAGGAUUUUCUUCUUCUUUCUACAGUUUCCAAUAUUGUUUAAUCCAUGGAAAUUUUUUUUUCUACCAUAAAGGUAAAACUGAUUUCCUGAGAAGUACCAGACAGGUAACCCCUUAAUAACAGCAGAUUCAAUCAAAAAAAUAAAGGGAAUGUGUUGUAGUUGCUAAUUUGACAGAAUUUUAAGUUGCUCAUGAAAUUAAAAAACUGAACACAAUUAAAGCACAGUGACAACAAUAUUUAGAUACAACAAAACAAAUGGUGCAUAUCUGUGUAGACAUAUGUAUGAUCACCUGUAUUGAUCAUCAGCUUUCUGCCUCUCUAAACGAAUCUCUGCCAAACUGGUCAUGAUAAAAAUCAUGUAGAACUGAACAAAAAAGUACGCUCGAUAUAGAAUGUAAACUUGCUUUCUCUAUCCAGUGUACAGUAUUACCUUGUGACCACUGUUCCCUGACAGUAUUGAUCUGCUGUCACUUUCAGUCAACAUCAUAAUUGGCCAGCCAAAUAUAUUUUAGUGCAAACUUUUUCAACCUGUAUUCUACAUACAGUACUGAAACAUUCCUGUAAGUAGAGGAGACGUCUUCUACUAGAGGAAAAAAAAUGAAGCAACUGGAAGUAAGCAAAGGUAACAACUUUCUGGACCACACAACUGCCAUAACCUUCCAGAAACUAAGUAACUGAAAAUUAAACAAAAAUUCUAUAUCACUUUAGAAGAUAGAAAAUGCAUGAUAUGUCUGCAUAUCACAAUCUCAAGUUAGACAUUUUGUUUCAGCUGUAUUACUAGAAACUCAAUGUACUUUAAUUCUGUUUAAGCCUUAUCAUUAUAUAUUUUUUUCAUUACCAUACUAACAGUACAUUCAAACCAAUAAUAAUAUUUGAAUCUUAGAAUUAAGCAUGUUGUAUAAUUCUUAAGUUUGUGUUUUAACUUUGUAAUGGCUGGGUGCAUCGAUUCAACUAAUCUGUUAUGUGUUUUUUUUUGUUUUAUUAAAAUAACAAAGUACUGGGUGAAAUAGUUUGAAAAUUGAGAUAAACUUUCUUCAUAUUACAUAGCUUCUGAAAAUAAAAUAUUUUUAUACUUGAUAUUUGUAUUAAUUCACAGCUUCAAAAAUUGAAAAGAAAUGAAGAAGACUUUAAUUAGUUUUUUAGAUCUUGAGCCAAUGACUUCUCAAAUCUGAGAUAUAGGGAAUUAAUCGCACCAUGACAACCAAGGUUGAUAAACUAUGAUUAGCUGAAGUCAGUAAAACUACUCUUGUAUUGAAGUUACAAAGAUUAGCUCUAUUUUGUUCAAACUGUUUCAUCUUUUCUCUUGUGGGAUAUGAAUGCUGUAUUAUGCUCAUAAAAAUUCAGAAAAUUAACAAACAUUAAUAUAUUCAUUCAGAGCACGGUGAAAGCAACCCAAAUCAAAAUGUAAGAUUUUAUAAAGGUUAUCUUUAAAAGUUAAUAAAUAAAACAUUUUUAUUAAUUAAAUUGC
This 2807-nucleotide unclassified non-coding RNA is filed under the name Limulus polyphemus (Atlantic horseshoe crab). RNAcentral's name for it is "exopolyphosphatase PRUNE1-like, transcript variant X3". Lineage: Eukaryota; Metazoa; Arthropoda; Merostomata; Xiphosura; Limulidae. The record is from RNAcentral.